UGGAGCUUCAUGUAGUUAGUUUGUCUCAUCAUUCAUACAGAUACUUGGAUUUACUUUAGUGAGGGCUGGAAGUGCUAUUUGGCUAGAAGAGUGUCUCAUUGUCUGAAUGAAAUCUGAACCUUCAAAGAAAGGAGAGCAGCAAGGAAUGGACUUGGCUGAGGACUGGCUGUGAGAUAUGGGGCUCUGCAACUCCCAGGUUCCAUCCAGUAAAGUUAAUAGAAAUCACAUGGGUUGCUUGCCAUCUGGCAACCAGUUGGAAGCCUGGGCACAUGGUGUCAGUGAGUCUUUACUAUCAAGUUACAAGUCAAGUGACUUCAUUAGCUUUAAGGAGAAUCUGGAGAGCAGCUCCCAGCCUGCCAGGAUCCUGAGCAGCUACAGCGAGCUGACUGCAUGUAAGACAGCCUGUUAGAUGAAUGAGAUGGCUCUCCCUCUCUUCUUCUCUGCCCCUGCAUUUUCCUCCCAAAGGCCCAGCAUAUUUCAGCAACUUGGAUGCAGUGGAGCAUCUGGAAGGGAC
Gallus gallus (chicken) is the source of this 514-nucleotide long non-coding RNA. The record is from Ensembl. NCBI's taxonomy places the organism in Eukaryota, Metazoa, Chordata, Aves, Galliformes, Phasianidae.